RNAcentral lists this ribosomal RNA (429 nucleotides) under Bacteroidota bacterium. RNAcentral's name for it is "Bacteroidetes bacterium partial 16S ribosomal RNA". It matches the Rfam family "Bacterial small subunit ribosomal RNA", at positions 355 to 776 of the family's 1533-position model. Lineage: Bacteria; Pseudomonadati; Bacteroidota. The record is from RNAcentral.
UAGGGAAUCUUCCGCAAUGGACGCAAGUCUGACGGAGCAACGCCGCGUGAGUGAAGAAGGAUUUCGGUUCGUAAAACUCUGUUGUUAGAGAAGAACAGCGCAUAGAGUAACUGUUAUGCGUGUGACGGUAUCUAACCAGAAAGCCACGGCUAACUACGUGCCAGCAGCCGCGGUAAUACGUAGGUGGCAAGCGUUGUCCGGAUUUAUUGGGCGUAAAGCGAGCGCAGGCGGUCAAUUAAGUCUGAUGUGAAAGCCCCCGGCUCAACCGGGGAGGGUCAUUGGAAACUGGUUGACUUGAGUGCAGAAGAGGAGAGUGGAAUUCCAUGUGUAGCGGUGAAAUGCGUAGAUAUAUGGAGGAACACCAGUGGCGAAGGCGGCUCUCUGGUCUGUAACUGACGCUGAGGCUCGAAAGCGUGGGGAGCGAACAGG